This is a long non-coding RNA of Apus apus (common swift), 7084 nucleotides long. RefSeq lists it as uncharacterized. NCBI's taxonomy places the organism in Eukaryota, Metazoa, Chordata, Aves, Apodiformes, Apodidae. The transcript has 5 exons. The record is from RefSeq and is a predicted model, not a curated record.
UUAGAAAGUAGGAAAGAGAAAACACACAGAGAAUGGGAAAGUCACACAGAAGUUACAUGGUAGAUCAGCUGCGGGCAAAGAGAGAAAAUCAUGAGACUCAGUGCAACACUACCCUGCAGACAAACACAAACGGAAUUCAAGAACAUGUAUGUGUUGCUGCUUUCCCUGUGGGAUCAGUUGUGGCUACGUUAGCCCUAAAGAUCGUCAUGAUCUUCCUCCACGUGCACCUGCAGAUCUCAAACAGCUCGUCCUGCAUCUCUGCAGAUUGGUUGGAAGUUGGAAUCUCAGGUUGGAGAUGGUGAGUCCAGGCUUUUAUAGCCCGGUCAGAGCAGGCAGGGAAGGAAACGCCCUACGCAGAAAAACUCCUCUGGAACUUUUCAGGAAACAUCCAAUCAACGACGGGCUCUACCAGCCGGAACUCUGUGGUCUCAGAGGACAAGAAGCAGAUGUAAGAGGUCUCCUCAUAGACCUCCCAUACCCAACACAGCUUCAUCUCCAGGAUGAUCAGCCCCUGCUGUGCCCAUGACCCAGGCAGGUUUGCUUCCUCUCAGACUCAGCCCUUUUUACUGAGCACCACCUGCAGGAGGCUCUGCCAAGCAGGGAAGACUUGAAGUCACCAGCCUGCACAGGUUGGCCAACAAGCCAUCCUACCAGUGAGCCCGCAGGGGGUUCUUUCUGGGGACAGGAGGCUUUGCUCUGUAAGAGAGAAAAAAAAAGUCUUCUGGACAUACCAGCCAAUUUCAAGAAAGCUUUGAGCACACACUGUAAGCAGAACUUCAAACCUGUUCCAAUUUUAUUUUUGCCUUCCCUCCCUCAAACAUAAACUGAGUUUGCAGCACCAAAGUAUCAUCACUACUGGUCUACUCCUCAUCUCAGGUUUGGAUCAACCACUCUCACAACAGGGAUGACACUACCCAACUAAGUGAUACUAGAUAUUUAGAAAUGCAGAACAAGUGAGGCAGCCUGGAGAUUUAAACUUGGGUUGCCAGAACUUACACCUUACAGCUCCAUCAAUAUUUUUAAAGCUAACCAAAAGCUUGUUUUCAAAGGUUGUCUGAGCACAACACAAGUGUAAAAACAAAUCAGAGCCUGUAGUUCUCUGGUCUAGAAGAAAGAGGUGGAUGUGUCACCACAGGAGUCAUCGAGGAACAAGUCUGACAGGUUCCAUUCAGUGUGACAUCCUCAUGUCCCUAAAAAAAAGUAAUUCAGGCCUUGACUUCCAACGUGUCAGGUUGGAAGCUCCACUCAGCUAAAGAACAAACAAGCUUCAGUUAUACUCAGCAUGAGAAAAAUAGUCAUCUUUACACUUGCCCAAAAGGGAGGGGAAUAAGCCCAGGUUCUUGCCUAGACAGUAAUACUGGAAACUUAAGUCCUUAAAACAUCAUGUGCCCUUUGCCACCUUUCCUUUUGCCCUAGACUGGUCUCCCUCACCUACCUUCUGCAGUUAAUACAUGUAGUAGUAUCUGUUCCUAUCAGUUGCAGCAGUUCCUAUCUAUGUGGCAGUACAAGAUUUUUAGGCUACAAGGACCCCAGAUUGGCAGUGGGGGUUGAGAGCACCAGUGUGAGUGGGAACCAUCUCCAAGCCCAUGUCCACAAUUUGAUUGAGUUAUCUGUUAAUGAUAAAACUGCAGAGAAGGAAGAAGGAACAUGGACAGAGAAGAGGUCCUCACUUGUUUUUUUCUGGCUUUUCUUACAGACCAUAAAGCAGGAAGGAGCUUUAAACACAGCCUGGGAGUCUUGAUGAAGCUCUCCAGUGGAAGCUCUCCAUCCUGCUCUUCAACCAGAGCAAGGGGAGCUGGUCCAUACCAAGAACAGAAGAAGUACCCACAUCAUCAAGCACCCUGUGGCAUUUCUCCCAUUCACCCCCUGCUCCAGCAGACAGCCCAGGCUCCAGUGCCACACAGUACACCUGGGCAGCAUCCCAACCAUCCAUCUAUCAAGCCAUGGAGAUAUGAGGCAAGCCCAACAAUGUGCAGCACUUCUAGGGCAGUAUACUUGCUGAUUGCUUCCUUGACUAUUGUUCACAACAACCAGCUAAGACACUGCCAAAGAAACACUCACAGCUGGCAUCACAUGAGGAGGGAAGCUAGGGCAGGUUGGUCAAGUUCUUCCUCUUCCCAUUCACAGAAGGCAAGAGUCUGGGGACAAACAAAGAGUCAACGAAGCAAUAGCAGCAGUACUGAAGGAAACAACUUUCAAGGGAGAAGAGGCUCAAAACCAUGAAUUGACAAUUACUCUGUCCCUUAGGCCCAAUCUUGGUUCAGACCUCUAAGAAUUACUAAUAUUAAACAAGAAAAACCCACCUUCCUUGUCCACAAUCCAUAUGUAUCUCAGUGAGCUCCCAGGUGUCACACACUAGCAGUCAGGAAGCACAGUGGCACAAUCAGGUGUUUCCAGAUGCUUAAAAGGGUAAGACACAAAACUUGAAACUCUGUGGGUUCACUUGGCUGCACAGCUUUGUUCUUAGGUAACAUAGGAUGUGUUAGAAAGAGAACCCACUAGAACACCAUCCCCUGCAAAACAAAUGAAAAAGGAUCAAUACUUAUUUGCACUAAAGCCAAUUGACUUUCCUACUACACACGUGGAACAGGCUGAGACACACAAGACAGGGUGUUAUCUAGCAUUCCUGCAGUCCUCGCCUGGAAACACAUGAACAUGUGACAAGUCAACCUUCAGGGCAAAGCAAUUCUUAACUCUUGCAUCACAGCCUCCAGAGCAGGUUAUUGCUCAGGGGUCUCUCAUGCAACAAUGAAGUUUAAAAGUAAAACAUACUGCAGGACUAGAAGUUCACUGCCUCCCAUUUCUUUCAGUGGCAACUUGACAUCAGUGUACUCUGAGACAUCCAAGCCUUCUAUUGCUGAUGUGCUAGGUUAGAAAUUGAAAAUCUCAGGAAUUUGUUUUUUGUUUGGAUAGCAAGACAGAGCUAACACUCAAUUGUUUCUUGCUCUCACCCCAUUUUCCUCGCAGCAAAACUGUAUUUCAUCUUCCAAGGGGUUACCAGAAACAUGCCAAGAAAAGCAUGAGCACCAACUGAAAGGCAAGGAUUGAAACACUUCAAGAAAAGCAGAUGUUAAACCCCCCCAGCUCCUGCCCAUCACUGAGUCUUCAGAAAGGCCAGCAACUGGGUGCUCUAAGCUUUUUCAAAAGACAAUAACCCAACCCAAACCUGGUUGGUUUAUUGCAAGAGUCACGAUAAAGUUCAGUGGCUUCUAUUGCAGAGAUGCAGGUGAAGGGAAAAGCUCAUGUCCUCUGUACUAUCUGAGACUGACAGAGGUGACAUGCAGUGCACAUCAGUCAAAGCAGCACAGGAGAGGACAGCAAAUACCCACCAGGCACCAUGAUACAGAACCUGGGCUCCAUUCCCUGAGUCCCAGGAGACAGCACCAGCUCAUCAAAUAAAUCACUUCUUGACUGUAACCUUUUCACCCUAAGGAAAAAAACCAGACAAUUCCAAUACAUCAAAAUGAAGACUUGACAACAGUACCCACCACCUUGCCCUGAAAAUGUGUCCCACUCUGGAACUAGCUGGCUUGUUUAAACAAUGACCUAACCAUCCCUCCAACAUUUCCCAUCAGGAUCAGAACAAACCAGACUAUCUCAAAGGCAAUUAACAGGUCAGGGACAAGCACAGCUAUAGGAGAGCAAAACAAUCUGGUGCAGAAGAGGAAGAUACUACUUCAUCUUUCAUCCUCCUCUGGGGACAUACAGACUGCAGAAUUGCUGUUUUGGGAACUGUAAAACUCUCCUUUGAGCCACUACAAAUUAAGCAUGACAGGGCCUGGGAAGAGAUGCUUUUGGGAACAACCUUGUAUCACUGCAGCAAGAUAAUGGUUUCAAAAAUUAAAAGCAGAACCAUUUUAGCUCCCCUCAGCUGCUUGCUGCCAGUAAGGAUUCCUAGUGCUUUUGGAAAGGAGGAACAAGUCAUCCAGCUGAAACUGCUUAACACUGAGAGAACAAGGAGUAGCAAAACCACCCUUGUGUUUAAGCCUCACAGGAAGGGCAGCCCCAGGAAAUACCUGCUCAACACCCAGUGUAGAAAAGAGAGUCCUCAUGCCGCAAUCAGUGCUGCUGAGCUGCUCCAGACACACCUCCUGAAGCCUGCAGCUGCAAGGGGCCAGCAUCUUGGAUGCAAAUGUAUGUCUCAACUGGAUCUAAUCCAUCAAGUCCUGCUUCUGGCAGUCAUCUCAGUAAAUCUAGUCAAUAUCUAUUAAAUUAGUGCAGCUCAUUAUGUUUUUUCAUGGCACAGUCUAAGAAUUCAACUGAACAGGGACUGCUGCACUAGGCACAGCACAGAGAUACAGCAGAACACAUCCCUACCCCUGAGGAGUUUAUUCUCCACUCACAUUAACAACUGUGCUGCAUGAGACAAGAUAUUAAUUCUUUCUCCCAAUUCACUGCAGAGUAACCUUAGAAAAAACUCAUCUUCCCCUGAUAAGGACAAAAAACUUCAUGGUAUUAAGUACAAAUGAAACCUCAUCACAGGUAUGUAUGCAGGAGCAUCCUUCUCCACCCUUCCCAUUGGUGUACCUGGAGAGAACAGACAAGCUGCCACUCUAAGCUUUUAGCUGGAAAAAUUUACUGGGAUUGUGCCUUUAUGGGAAGCAUUCUGCUUUAGAGAAUUGUCUACAAGGAAUUAGCCUAUAAAUCACUACUAUAAACCAACAAGCUGAUGGGUGUGGAGGAUGACAGUGCUCUCCUGUUACAGAAAUACUGCAUUCCAAGAAAGGGAAGAAGUCCUGUCAGGUAAGAUCUGCAGCAACCACCCUGUUUUCACUGAAGUAUGUGAUACCAUAAGCUUCAUUUCACUAAGCACAUUUAUUUCCAGUUCAUUCCCAGUGAUGACACAACACUGGCAUAAGUGCAGUUUCAAGCUAUGACUGACCUAGUCACAAUCCUUGAGUUAGCACCUGAAGAAUCACACAGUUUCACCAAGGAUUUGAACUCCUGCAGGAAGACUGAUGCAAACAGAUCUUCUCUCCCUGGAAGCUUCAAGUCCUUCCUGUUGUAAGGCAAAACAAAGCUGAAUUUUCAUCUCUGAAAUUUGUCAGUGAAACUCAGCAGCAGGAGAAAGCUGGAAUUAAAUGAAAGUUCAGGAAGAUUUAGUUUGGAAGAGACUCCUGGGGAUGAGCUAGUUCAACUGCCUAUUCUAAACAAGGCUAACUUCUAACUAGAUCAGGGUGCUCAAUUCCUUUUACACAGUUUUAUUCAACCCUAUUUCUAAACCACAGAAUCAGGAACAAUGUCUAGCUGAGACUGUUACACUUAGAAGGAUGAACUGGCAUCCCAGAGAAAAAUCACCAUAAAGCAAUGCCAAAGCACUAGUGGUGGUUGCAGAGCAAGAACAAAUUCACUCCUUCCUCCCCACAAAGGUGUCAGUCUUUUCUAUUACAAACUUUCAGGUAGGAGAGGAAGUGUCCUGCCUCUGCAAACACAGAUUUCAUUAUUUAUGACCUUACAGACAAGUUUCCCUUCUUAAGGUAAGAAUACAUUAAAUAGAUUCUGAGUUUGGUUUGAUACAAGUCCUGUGAUACUUGGAUCCUGUGGUUUGGGUUAAUCUCCAAAAAUGUUCAAACUAGUGCUGUAUUAUCCCAUCUUCCAUUGCAACUCCUGCAAAGUGCCACCAAGCCAACCAGAAAAUGGUUCUAGGUUAUGAAUCUUAGUAAUGUUUAAUAAGAAUUGUUAUCAUACUUGUCCUGUCACUCUCUUCUCCUCCAAACUCCCCCUAGCAUCCCGAUUCCCCAAAUACAGGACACAAGCUGCUGAACAACAACUGUUGGCCUUUUUUUAUUAAUCAUGCAGCACAAACCUCCCUUAGGAGAUGCAUUAACACGACCUUAGACAGGAAACAUAUUUACCAGUUUCUUACAGCUCUGCGGCAGGAGAUGAUCCAGCUGGCUGUGGUACCCGAGGUCCAUCUCAGCUCCCGGGUGACCCCAGGUUUCUGCUGCUGGGGCUGACACACUGCAAACAAGCUGAGGACUGGCCCCAGAGCAGUGCAGACACCUGCUUCAUCCCUCAGCCUCACUGCAGACUCAGUUCCUGCUUUCUUGGUACAGCUCUGACUCCACCCCACGUCCUGACACCACUCCUUGCAGACCAACCUCACUGCUAACAAGGAAAUGGGACAAUACCUUUGCAGUGAGUCACAGGCUGCCUAAAACAAAGCAGAACAAAGAAAUGAUAGACAGUAUUAGCAGUUCUUUUCUGUAAAACACAAAGGCAAGAACCACACAAAAUAGGUAAGGGACAGAAUGGCAGGGGGAAGACAGAGCCCUGCUUUGAGACUGGUUGGCACUUCUACCUGUAACACAGUUUCACUCCCACCCCUGCUGAUUUCCAGCUAGUCCCUCAGCUCAGAGGGAUACAGCCACUUGGGUAACAGGCUAUUUUCAUCUCAUUGCAGGUGACAAGUGAAAAAGUAACAGCAGUUUUGUAGCCCUGGGAUCAGGUUGCAGGUGACAGCCAGAUCUGCUCUCAGGAGCUUCUUGCCACAAACAUUCCUGCACUCCAAGAAGCACAAAAGCACCAAGACAAAACAGGGAAAAUCUGGGAAGCUCAGGUUAUUGCAAAACUGGGAUCACCAGGACUGCUGUCACUCAAUCACCUACUCCAAGAAAUACAAACACAAAAAUCCCAUAAAACAUGGUAGAGUUAAGGAUAGUAUGAAAAAAAUCUAGAGCAACCAUCUCCUCCCAUUUGUUAAAAGACAUAUUUAAGAUCUACCACAUCUCACCGAAGUGAAUCUUCAUUUGGGAUCUCAUUGGGCCUGCUAAUAUCACUGAGUCAAGCAAUAUUAAAAUCCUCAUAUCAAAACAAGAUAAAGCCAUGGAAUUGAUAUACACAGCACUUCCUGAAUUUCUCCACAUACUGUGCAGUGAGAAACACACACAGAACAGACUCGUGCCUUCUUCCACAGCAGCUAAAGAAUUCAUUCUUUGCCAGACUCAGUGCUACUUCUUCCUUGCUUUCAGAUUUCAUUUUGCUUUUUACAUGAAGACAAGCAAAAAAAAAAGGCCUUCUGCUCUCUGCAUUCUAGUAAACGCUGUUCUUCCUCUUUUAUUAACAGUAUUUAAGAAAGUUUUAA